This 961-nucleotide ribosomal RNA is filed under the name marine bacterium BL40_004. RNAcentral describes it as "bacterial SSU rRNA". It matches the Rfam family "Bacterial small subunit ribosomal RNA", at positions 68 to 1037 of the family's 1533-position model. The record is from RNAcentral.
GUGAAAGCAGAGCUUGCUCUGUGGAUCAGUGGCGAACGGGUGAGUAACACGUGAGCAAUCUGCCCCUGACUCUGGGAUAAGCGCUGGAAACGGCGUCUAAUACCGGAUACGAGCUGCGAAGGCAUCUUCAGCAGCUGGAAAGAAUUUCGGUCAGGGAUGAGCUCGCGGCCUAUCAGCUUGUUGGUGAGGUAACGGCUCACCAAGGCGUCGACGGGUAGCCGGCCUGAGAGGGUGACCGGCCACACUGGGACUGAGACACGGCCCAGACUCCUACGGGAGGCAGCAGUGGGGAAUAUUGCACAAUGGGCGAAAGCCUGAUGCAGCAACGCCGCGUGAGGGACGACGGCCUUCGGGUUGUAAACCUCUUUUAGCAGGAAAGAAGCGAAAGUGACGGUACCUGCAGAAAAAGCGCCGGCUAACUACGUGCCAGCAGCCGCGGUAAUACGUAGGGCGCAAGCGUUAUCCGGAAUUAUUGGGCGUAAAGAGCUCGUAGGCGGUCUGUCGCGUCUGCUGUGAAAACCCGAGGCUCAACCUCGGGCCUGCAGUGGGUACGGGCAGACUAGAGUGCGGUAGGGGAGAUUGGAAUUCCUGGUGUAGCGGUGGAAUGCGCAGAUAUCAGGAGGAACACCGAUGGCGAAGGCAGAUCUCUGGGCCGUAACUGACGCUGAGGAGCGAAAGGGUGGGGAGCAAACAGGCUUAGAUACCCUGGUAGUCCACCCCGUAAACGUUGGGAACUAGUUGUGGGGUCCAUUCCACGGAUUCCGUGACGCAGCUAACGCAUUAAGUUCCCCGCCUGGGGGAGUACGGCCGCAAGGCUAAAACUCAAAGGAAUUGACGGGGACCCGCACAAGCGGCGGAGCAUGCGGAUUAAUUCGAUGCAACGCGAAGAACCUUACCAAGGCUUGACAUAUACGAAGAACGGGGCCAGAAAUGGUCAACUCUUUUGGACACUCGUAAACAG